This 107-nucleotide small nucleolar RNA is filed under the name Gossypium hirsutum (cotton). Its description in RNAcentral is "Plant small nucleolar RNA R71". It matches the Rfam family "Plant small nucleolar RNA R71". Rfam says of the family: R71 is a member of the C/D box family of snoRNAs containing the C (UGAUGA) and D (CUGA) box motifs. Multiple nearly identical copies of this snoRNA have been identified in Arabidopsis, and it is thought to function as a 2'-O-ribose methylation guide for 18S ribosomal RNA. The record is from Rfam by way of RNAcentral. Lineage: Eukaryota; Viridiplantae; Streptophyta; Magnoliopsida; Malvales; Malvaceae.
AGCCCAUGGUGAGGGCACCAUCUCAAUAAGUCCUUAUACCUCUCCCAUGCAUCAUAUAGCGUUUCUAAGUCGAUUUGAACGAAGGAAGAAAUAUCAUUCCUCAACUU